GACUACCGGCAUCCUGGUCGCCAGGAUGCCGUAUGUAACCCAUAUAAAGCGGAUGUGGUCAGGAUCCUGGCAAUCAGGAUUCAGACAGUCAGAAUACCAGACAGCUGCAUCCCACCAGUCAGAAUCUCGACGAAGGUGUGCUUGGCCAGGGUCUGCGCCUUCCGUUGCAGAUUUCCUGGCCCCAGCAGAGUGAAAACACCAGCCAUCCUGUGUCACCUGAGGGUUAUUCAGAUGACCGAUGUUUACGGAGAGUAAUACAAUUCUGUGUCCCCAAACGCAGCAGCGGAUCACAGAAGCAUGCAGCAGGCGUCCAUUUACACAAUGAUCCCUCCUGCAGCAUUAGCAUAUGUACACACACCAGCCACAUUCAAAGACGCAGCUGCUGUCUGUACUGUGUCCAUCUCUGAAUUAGGUCUGAAAAUGGGAUAUAUACAGAGAUCCCAGGACACAGACUUACGGUAGACGUUAGACCAGCAGAUCCUUGUGGAGAACAACAGGGCGCCGAGAAAGGCGCGUCGCGGGAUUGUGACGUCACCAGCCCGGCGCCCUGCACGAGACACACAUCACUAGAUGCACGGGGUGUACUAUAAAGAGCAAUAAAAGUCAAUGAAAAGCAUCUACAUAUUACUUGUGUACGCUCUGGAUUUAUCUGCACAGAUGGAUGGAAUAUUUAUGGUGGCUGUUUCCAGCUAAUCAGAGUGUGAAACUGCUAAACUGCUGGCAAGGGCCCUACAUCAAAAUACAAAGAUGCUUUAAGGUUGUGUGAUUUUUCUGAAAAACCGAGGAUAAAUAUGACCUGAAGAAGGAACAAAUAACCCGUGUAUGCAGGUACCCUGCUGGAGAGAUUACAGAGUGCAGGCUGAUACUAACAAUGAAAA
Long non-coding RNA from Pseudophryne corroboree (corroboree frog), 878 nucleotides. RefSeq lists it as uncharacterized. The record is from RefSeq and is a predicted model, not a curated record. NCBI's taxonomy places the organism in Eukaryota, Metazoa, Chordata, Amphibia, Anura, Myobatrachidae. The transcript is spliced from 6 exons.